CCUCGGGGGGCAGCAGUGGGGAAUAUUGGACAAUGGGCGAAAGCCUGAUCCAGCCAUGCCGCGUGUGUGAAGAAGGCCUUCGGGUUGUAAAGCACUUUCAGUGGGGAAGAAAGCCUUGGGGCUAAUACCCUCGAGGAAGGACAUCACCCACAGAAGAAGCACCGGCGUAACUCCGUGCCAGCAGCCGCGGUAAUACGGAGGGUGCGAGCGUUAAUCGGAAUUACUGGGCGUAAAGCGCGCGUAGGCGGUCUGAUAAGCCGGUUGUGAAAGCCCCGGGCUCAACCUGGGAACGGCAUCCGGAACUGUCAGGCGAGAGUGCAGGAGAGGAAGGUAGAAUUCCCGGUGUAGCGGUGAAAUGCGUAGAGAUCGGGAGGAAUACCAGUGGCGAAGGCGGCCUUCUGGACUGACACUGACGCUGAGGUGCGAAAGCGUGGGUAGCAAACAGGAUUAGAUACCCUAGUAGUC
RNAcentral lists this ribosomal RNA (465 nucleotides) under Vreelandella stevensii. RNAcentral describes it as "partial 16S ribosomal RNA". It matches the Rfam family "Bacterial small subunit ribosomal RNA", at positions 339 to 795 of the family's 1533-position model. The record is from RNAcentral. Lineage: Bacteria; Pseudomonadati; Pseudomonadota; Gammaproteobacteria; Oceanospirillales; Halomonadaceae.